RNAcentral lists this transfer RNA (72 nucleotides) under Sphingorhabdus rigui. Its description in RNAcentral is "tRNA-Gly". It matches the Rfam family "tRNA". Rfam says of the family: Transfer RNA (tRNA) molecules are approximately 80 nucleotides in length. RNAcentral also lists the same sequence under 1 other name. Lineage: Bacteria; Pseudomonadati; Pseudomonadota; Alphaproteobacteria; Sphingomonadales; Sphingorhabdaceae. The record is from RNAcentral.
GGCGUAGCUCAGGGGUAGAGCACAACCUUGCCAAGGUUGGGGUCGAGGGUUCGAAUCCCUUCGCCCGCUCCA